UACGGAGGGUGCAAGCGUUAUCCGGAUUCACUGGGUUUAAAGGGUGCGUAGGUGGGCAAGCAAGUCAGUGGUGAAAUCUCCGGGCUUAACCCGGAAACUGCCAUUGAUACUAUUUGUCUUGAAUACUGUGGAGGUCAGCGGAAUAUGUCAUGUAGCGGUGAAAUGCUUAGAUAUGACAUAGAACACCAAUUGCGAAGGCAGCUGGCUACACAAAUAUUGACACUGAGGCACGAAAGCGUGGGGAUCAAACAGG
Molecule: ribosomal RNA, 253 nt
Filed under: uncultured bacterium
Lineage: Bacteria
Description: partial 16S ribosomal RNA
Rfam family: Bacterial small subunit ribosomal RNA
Source: RNAcentral